This is a long non-coding RNA of Odontomachus brunneus, 1896 nucleotides long. RefSeq lists it as uncharacterized. The record is from RefSeq and is a predicted model, not a curated record. NCBI's taxonomy places the organism in Eukaryota, Metazoa, Arthropoda, Insecta, Hymenoptera, Formicidae. The transcript has 2 exons.
GCGAUUCAUUACCAAUACUUAGAUUGAAUAACCACGAUGACAACCUCGUAGUGCGAAACGAAUGCGAUUGGUCUAGAGUGGUUAGUAGCUCGAGCAAGUGAUUAAGACGUCCGCCGCGGCGCGCCGUACAGAUCGCGUCACUGUAGACGCGCGACCUCGUUCGCAUCUCUGACGCGUUCACAUUCAUGCACUUUCGAUACUUUCGGCGCGCUAAUGAACUUUUGGUGUACGUGAUUGACAGCGUGCACGUCUGCGAUCUUUUCAUGCCGAGUAACUACCAUGGGCACAACGCCCCGUAUUCCAUACGUCUUUCGCUUGUGUCCUGUGAGUCUCCUGCGGAAAUAAGUAUUAGAGUGCCGAAAACAACGACGUGCGGUCGUCAGGACAUGUCAACUCAGACAACGAAAGUCCGAGCGGAUACUUUUAUCGAGCUGCUGAACUCUUGAGAAAAUAUCGGCAGCUUUCGUUCUGUCACAGGGGAAAGAUCGGUAACUAAGUCUCGUCACUUGUACAGAUUCGUAAAUAUAUCUCCGCUUUCUCGAAAUUAUCAUAUGUGUAUAUAGUACUAGACCUUAAUUUCACUUGUGCGAAGCGCACGAUUGAAAAUUAUUUUCUUACGUUUUCGACUUUCCAAAAAUAGAAAAUUUUGUACGAUAAAAUGAAGCGUUAUAUUUUUCAUCUGUAUUUCUCAAUUUGUUCUUAACUUUAUCUUUAUUUACAUCUUUAUUUAAAUUUUUGCUUAGUUUUAAGCAUUCCUUAACUCUGUUAGAUUCCCUCAACGUUCGCUUUAUCUAUACAAUAUUAUAUAAUAUUAAAUAACAUAUAUAUGAUGUUUUAUAUUGUGUGCGCUUCCCUCUUGUGCUUUGUACAUUACGCAUUGCUCUUUUCGUAAUAUCGGACAAAUUCUUUAUUGAAAAUUCAAAUUAAUGAUUGGAUAUGACUAGUAAGUGACAAAACGUUGCUGAUCCUUGCUCCAUGUAUAUCACGACACUCAGACUGCCAAUCUGUAUUGAAUUUAAGGGCAAAUUGUGAGAGUCGCGAGAGCCUAAGGCUACGGAUACGCGAAAUCUAAAGCAAACACCAAGUAUAUCUCUAUAUUAAUUCACAAAAUAUCUUUGUGGAAAAACAAAUAACGCGUGGUCGCAGGGACUUUCGCUUUUAUCAGUACUUCGGAUCCGAGGUUUCACAUUGACAAUUUCAUUAACGCUUAUAGCGUAAUAUUAAAAUUCGUAGCUAAAAUUAUUUAUUUUAUUUCGAAGAUUUUAACAAGGCUAAUUGCAAUUAUUAUACCUUUACAACUUUGGUCUUACUUUUACAUAAAGAUAUAAAACAGUAAAAGAUCGGAUCCAAAGUAUGAUACGUAUAAACGAGGGUGCCAAAAAUUCUUAAGAAAACCGUUUGGCCUACUAACGUAAACAGCCCCUAAUUUCCGACGAAUAAACGCAGUUACGUACGAUUGUUAAUAACGCGUUGACCAACAAAAGUUUAUAAAUAUUGUUGGAAAGCAAUUUAAGGAAGCUUGUUUGACCAACUUCUAAAUGGGCGGUUACUUCCGUACUAUUUAAUUCAACUUGUCGAGUGCGGUUGCACAAUACGAAAUUACAGUAACAAUUCCGGCAGCUUUGAACACACCCGAAGCUUGAAUUACAAGUUUCAGGAUGCCCAGAACUUUGACGCAAGUCGUAUAAUUGAGCAUGACACGUAGAAAUAAUGCGACACAGGGAGGAAAUAAUAAAAGUCCUGGGCACAAUUGUUUAUAUGGAACUCAAAUUUUACAUGUUGUACGUUUAUAUGGCGAUAAGUAUCGUGAAAUAAAAGCACUUGACGUGUGUGUAUGUAAAUUUAUAGUUAAAAUUUAACGUUUAUUUACGAAAUAUACAGGGUGUUUCAGACUUA